UACGGGGGGAGCAAGCGUUGUUCGGAUUUACUGGGCGUAAAGGGCGCGUAGGCGGCCUCCGCAAGUCAGUUGUGAAAUCUCCGAGCUUAACUCGGAAAGGUCAACUGAUACUGCGGGGCUAGAGUGCGGAAGGGGCAACUGGAAUUCUUGGUGUAGCGGUGAAAUGCGUAGAUAUCAAGAGGAACACCUGCGGCGAAGGCGGGUUGCUGGGCCGACACUGACGCUGAGGCGCGAAAGCUAGGGGAGCGAACGGG
This 254-nucleotide ribosomal RNA is filed under the name uncultured bacterium. RNAcentral's name for it is "partial 16S ribosomal RNA". It matches the Rfam family "Bacterial small subunit ribosomal RNA", at positions 524 to 776 of the family's 1533-position model. The record is from RNAcentral. RNAcentral also lists the same sequence under 1 other name.